UGCAAGUCGAGCGGUAACAUUUCAAAAGCUUGCUUUUGAAGAUGACGAGCGGCGGACGGGUGAGUAAUGCCUGGGAAUAUGCCUUGAUGUGGGGGAUAACCAUUGGAAACGAUGGCUAAUACCGCAUAAUGCCUACGGGCCAAAGAGGGGGAUCUUCGGACCUCUCGCGUCAAGAUUAGCCCAGGUGGGAUUAGCUAGUUGGUGAGGUAAUGGCUCACCAAGGCGACGAUCCCUAGCUGGUCUGAGAGGAUGAUCAGCCACACUGGAACUGAGACACGGUCCAGACUCCUACGGGAGGCAGCAGUGGGGAAUAUUGCACAAUGGGCGCAAGCCUGAUGCAGCCAUGCCGCGUGUGUGAAGAAGGCCUUCGGGUUGUAAAGCACUUUCAGUCGUGAGGAAGGUAGUUGCGUUAAUAGCGUAAUUAUUUGACGUUAGCGACAGAAGAAGCACCGGCUAACUCCGUGCCAGCAGCCGCGGUAAUACGGAGGGUGCGAGCGUUAAUCGGAAUUACUGGGCGUAAAGCGCAUGCAGGUGGUUUGUUAAGUCAGAUGUGAAAGCCCGGGGCUCAACCUCGGAAUUGCAUUUGAAACUGGCAGACUAGAGUACUGUAGAGGGGGGUAGAAUUUCAGGUGUAGCGGUGAAAUGCGUAGAGAUCUGAAGGAAUACCGGUGGCGAAGGCGGCCCCCUGGACAGAUACUGACACUCAGAUGCGAAAGCGUGGGGAGCAAACAGGAUUAGAUACCCUGGUAGUCCACGCCGUAAACGAUGUCUACUUGGAGGUUGUGGCCUUGAGCCGUGGCUUUCGGAGCUAACGCGUUAAGUAGACCGCCUGGGGAGUACGGUCGCAAGAUUAAAACUCAAAUGAAUUGACGGGGGCCCGCACAAGCGGUGGAGCAUGUGGUUUAAUUCGAUGCAACGCGAAGAACCUUACCUACUCUUGACAUCCAGAGAAGCCAGCGGAGACGCAGGUGUGCCUUCGGGAGCUCUGAGACAGGUGCUGCAUGGCUGUCGUCAGCUCGUGUUGUGAAAUGUUGGGUUAAGUCCCGCAACGAGCGCAACCCUUAUCCUUGUUUGCCAGCGAGUAAUGUCGGGAACUCCAGGGAGACUGCCGGUGAUAAACCGGAGGAAGGUGGGGACGACGUCAAGUCAUCAUGGCCCUUACGAGUAGGGCUACACACGUGCUACAAUGGCGCAUACAGAGGGCUGCCAACCAGCGAUGGUGAGCGAAUCCCAAAAAGUGCGUCGUAGUCCGGAUUGGAGUCUGCAACUCGACUCCAUGAAGUCGGAAUCGCUAGUAAUCGUGGAUCAGAAUGCCACGGUGAAUACGUUCCCGGGCCUUGUACACACCGCCCGUCACACCAUGGGAGUGGGCUGCAAAAGAAGUGGGUAGUUUAACCUUUCGAGGAGGACGCUCACCACUU
This 1421-nucleotide ribosomal RNA is filed under the name Vibrio ichthyoenteri. RNAcentral's name for it is "bacterial SSU rRNA". It matches the Rfam family "Bacterial small subunit ribosomal RNA". The record is from RNAcentral. Lineage: Bacteria; Pseudomonadati; Pseudomonadota; Gammaproteobacteria; Vibrionales; Vibrionaceae.